GUUUUAUCGGAGCUGAAGUGAAAUCUGAAGAUAAAGCAGUAGAUCAAAUUGAUGGGCAUGACAGGAGGCAGGACCAGCCAAUGACUGAGUCACAUUCCGAUGAUCAUCCCAUUCAUAAAAUAGGGGGAAACGGGCGCGGCUGAAAGCGGGAGAGGUGGAUUUAAGACGAUUUUGAACGGAUCCCGGUUCGGGAACCUGCGGCGCGCUGUUCAUGCUUCACAUGGGUAUCUUCGCACGCUGCAGGAAAUCGGCAGACCGUUCCUCCAGGGUCAUCUGCGGCCCCCUGGAAUUAUUCAUUCAAAUCCAGAACUCCAAUUACAGCGGUCCUUGAAUUGCGCAUCCAUCCGGUCGGGUUCCGGGACUAAUGAAAAGGCUGUGGUUCUCCGGAGGAUGACUUUUCUGCAUUCCGGAGUCUUUGGAAUCUGAUUCCAUCGGACGAAAAGGUCACUCCCAAGUGGACGGAAAACUAAAAAGAGACUUUAGUGGCUUUUAGGCCCAAAUAUUUCCAUUUCAGGACCAAAUAUUUUUAACCGAGUUUCACUUUUGUUUUUUUUUAUGUUGUGACAGUGAAGUUCUGCUUAAACAUCAGACACGUCAAAUUUCAUCAAGUUCCCAAGACUUUCAUCAAAGCCUCACAAACAACGGUCAUGUUUUUUGGAAAUAAAAAGUCUGACA
Molecule: long non-coding RNA, 675 nt
Organism: Paramormyrops kingsleyae
Lineage: Eukaryota; Metazoa; Chordata; Actinopteri; Osteoglossiformes; Mormyridae
Source: RefSeq, a predicted model, not a curated record